CUUUGUUAAUUGUGAAACAGACUGCUCUGGUUUUAGUUGUGUCACCUACAAUGGCUUCUCUUGUUUCUUCCCCGUUUACUCUGCCAGCUUCCAAGGCUGACCAGCUUUCUUCUCUUUCCCAAAAACACUUCUUUCUUCACUCAUUUCUUCCCAAGAAAAUCAACAACCUUCCCAACUCAAAAUCUUCAUUGAAAGUAAAAUGUGCAGCAAUUGGGAAUGGCCUUUUCACUCAAACCACACCAGAAGUUCGUAGAAUUGUGCCAGAAAACAAAAACAAUCUCCCCACUG
RNAcentral lists this long non-coding RNA (288 nucleotides) under Gossypium barbadense (sea-island cotton). Its description in RNAcentral is "long non-coding RNA (GBAR_LNC019392)". The record is from RNAcentral. Lineage: Eukaryota; Viridiplantae; Streptophyta; Magnoliopsida; Malvales; Malvaceae.